This is a non-coding RNA of Paramuricea clavata, 3139 nucleotides long. The record is from the annotation of a GenBank genome assembly. NCBI's taxonomy places the organism in Eukaryota, Metazoa, Cnidaria, Anthozoa, Malacalcyonacea, Plexauridae.
UUUUAACAUUCAUAUAUUUUAUUGACACGAAUUGUAAUGAAUGGUGACAAACAAAUAGAGGUUCAAGGUUUAUAGUUCGUACUACGGUUAAUCCUACUUUUUGCUUCGUUUUUUAAUGGUUUGGUUGCGAGAGGAUACUUUAUAUAAUAACGUUAAGAAUUCAAGCGCUUUCAUUGGUCGAGAGCCAUGAUCUAUUGGAGGGCAGACCAUAGACGCAUGGAAUUACGUCACACAAAACCUUAUCCAAUAGCGCUCCCUUAUUUGUAUAGUCUGUUCAAUUAUAGAUACACAGUAUGACAUCAUAAUGUGGCGGGAAGAACAAGAAAGUGACCCACUCGCCUCGUGAGCCACUUUUUUGUUCUUCCCACAUUAUGACGUCAUACUGUGUAUCUAUUAUACAAAUAAUGAAUGUUUAUGAGUGCAAUGGUAAGAAUAUUUUCAUUCGGUGAAAGAUGGAAUGUUCCAUCCAACGAGGCGACAGCCGAGUUGAAUGGAACAUUCCAUCUUUCACCGAAUGAAAAUAUUCUUACCAUUGCACGAAAAAACAUUCAUUAUUUGUUUUAUAUAAUACCAAAAUAGACUAAUAGAUUCGUAUGAGAAGCAUUUUGAGUGAUGCGAUUUAUUGAAAACACAAAGAGUGCAAUGGUACUAUACGUUUUAUUCCAUUGCACUCGCAGAGAGUGCAAUGGAACGUGUUCCAUUGCACUCUUGGGAAAUGGAAUUUUCUAUUCAAUAUCACGUGACCAUAGUAAACAGCCAAUUAAACGAUUAGAAUUCAAUAAGGUAUUAUAUAAAACUGAACAGACAACAGCAAAAUCUUAUCUACUUGUUAAAUAGUGUUGUUAUAUUGCAGCUGCGAUGUGAAGGAUAUACAACGACCUGAAAAAAGAUAAGCAGAACUUCGACCUUUCGUCGGGAAGUUGGUAGCGACCUUCGCUCGGAAAGUCGACGUUCUGCUUUAUGUUUUUGUUGUACAGUAUAUCCUUCACAUCGCAGCUGUCUGUUAUCCGCGUCUCUACCUACACUCGCAUCGUUUGACAUUUUGUCAUCUCGCACCGUCAGUGGGCAGAGGUAUAUCUCGGUACGUCAUAAAAAGAUCAUCAAUGCAAGGUUUACUUUGUUUUUAUCCUCUUAAUGUCAACUAUUUAUCUUAACUUACUGUAUUUCAGGUUAAAUAAGUACUAUAAUUAUAAUAUAUAUUUACUGAAGAAAUCAAAACAUUUCCAUACAAAAACUAUUUCAAAUCAUGUGGGAAUAGAUAGAGAUUUUCGCACCAAUGUAUACCAAUUACAUUCAUGGAAAUUUCUAUUUUGUGUGGAGCGGUUCUGAUUUUCCCAGCAAUUACAAAACAAAUGUUGUAAAGUAGUUACCUAUAAACCCUAUUUACAUAUAUGACAAUCAAAGAUAAUAGGCAAAGGCAUGGUUUGAAAGACCAGUCCACAAAAAGUCAUUGUUCAUUACAAUGGAUCAUAAAACACCUUGAUGUUUUCAGCGUGCUGGUGGCCUCUCAACCUUGUUGAAAAUUAUGACAUCACAAAAUCCAAAAUAAUUCCAUGUUUAGCAAUAAUUGUACAGCUGAGCAAUUUAGUAAAAAAAAAGUAACAAUACAACCAUCGAUGCCACUCGACGAUGGAAUAUCUAAAUAUUGUUGGUCAUUUUCAGCCAUUUCAGGAAAAAUAUCAAGUAUUAGCCAGUAAAAUACGCGUCAAAAAAUCAAUUAUAUCAACAGUAGUUUUUGUAUCGUCAAUUUCUUGAUUACGAAAGUAAAAACUAAAACAACAUUUACCUCGAGUACUUUGCCGUGGCACAAGAGGUUUAAAAGACAAUGAAACCAUUUCGAAUCUCAAUAUCGCUACUUAAAUGCGAAAAAUAGGAAAUUGAAGGAAAACGCAGUAAAUUUUAUUAUUUCGGUUUUUUUCGUUGACAUCGCGCACUUCAAAUAGGUCACAGAAUAAGAAGGUACAGCAGAAGCGUCACUCGAGUCGGUUCCCUUAUUGUCUUACGUAGGGUUGGGCGAUAUUUCGAUUUAUCGCGAUAUUUUCAAUCGCGAUUAUCGUAUCGAAGGUAGAAACUUGAGCGACGAUAUAUCGAAAUUAUCGUCAUGCUCGAUGACUAUCGUGAUAUUGCUUCGCAUGUGCAUAUAGCUUUUAUAAAAAUCCUAAAAAAUUCUUUCAAUUCCUAGAAAAUAUAGUUUUUAAAAGAAUUAAAACUAUUCCCUGAAUUACAUACGAAUUUAAAACGAUACAAAAGCUAAUAUUUAUGUAUUAAUCUGCUGAACAAUGAGAUUGUAGCCUUUGCUUGCGCUGUGUGCCCACGGCAUUUGUAAUUGUGCCAGCGGAGACACAGUAGACAUGGCUUUGAAGUUCUGGUUUAUGAACAGUAAAUAUUAGACUAGAAAAAGCCUUGAUAUUACUUUAAUUUUAAUUUGUUGUUUUACUUGUUUUUAAUACGAUUAUAUAUAAGCUUUCUAUGCUUUGAUAUUAAUUAAAAUUGAAUAAAAGUUGUCAUUGUUUUAUUGCAUUUAUCGCGAUAUUAUCGAAUAAGACGAAUAUCGUGAUAAUUUCCUUGACAAUAAUCGUGAGAUGAUAUUUUUAAUAUCGUCCAACCCUAGUCUUACGUCCACGAAAAUUUUAACUCGCUCACGCCAUCCUGGCUAGUACAACCGGAAGUUUUUAUCAGGUUUUGGUAGGUACAAAGUGCCGGUUGUACUAGCCAGAUGGCGUGAUUGAUGACGAAUCGCUUGUAAAAAGGCGGACAAACACUUGCUUGAGUGAGGGUUCUGCUGUACCUUCUUAUUCUGUGAAUAGGUCACUUCUGCUGACGCCAGCAGUCUCCUAUCCAUUAUUUUUAACUACCCAUAGACCAAUUGCGAAACUUAGUGGCCGCGCCUUCAUACUGCACGAAAACGAGGCUUAUUAUGCAAAAACAAAACAAUUUCUAUAUUUUUAUAUAGCGAAAGGUGAAUUUUAGGGUUUUAAAAGUGUUUUUUAUUUAAUCUCUUUCAUCUUUUCUUAAUAUUUCUGCUAGGUUAUAUAAAUAUUUGUUAAAUUUAUCUAAACAUCGAUUUCCCACAAUAUUUUUACCCGCUAUGGAGAGAUAUUUCGUUGUUGUUUUAGCAUGCGAUGGAACAAACAUAUCG